AGCUUUGCGCAGUGGCAGUAUCGUAGCCAAUGAGGUUUAUCCGAGGCGCAAUUAUUGCUAAAAGAUAUUUAAUAUGUAUAAGGGAAAGUUCCAUUUGUAGGGUGUCUCCCUCUUUGUACCAGAAAGAGGUAUUU
Molecule: small nuclear RNA, 134 nt
Organism: Lontra canadensis (Northern American river otter)
Lineage: Eukaryota; Metazoa; Chordata; Mammalia; Carnivora; Mustelidae
Product: U4 spliceosomal RNA
Exons: 1
Source: RefSeq, a predicted model, not a curated record